GAAUGGGGGAUAACUUCCGGAAAGGGGACGUAAUACCGCAUAAACAUCCUGUCUUUGAAGAGAUGGAGAUCAAAGCUGGGGAUCGCAAGACCUGGCGUUUGAAGAGGGGCCCGCGUCCGAUUAGCUAGUUGGUGAGGUAAUGGCUCACCAAGGCAACGAUCGGUAGCCGGCCUGAGAGGGCGGACGGCCACACUGGGACUGAGACACGGCCCAGACUCCUACGGGAGGCAGCAGUGGGGAAUUGUUCGCAAUGGGCGCAAGCCUGACGACGCAACGCCGCGUGGAGGAUGAAGGUCUUCGGAUUGUAAACUCCUGUUGCCCGGGACGAAAUGCUUCGACCUAACACGU
RNAcentral lists this ribosomal RNA (348 nucleotides) under uncultured soil bacterium. RNAcentral's name for it is "bacterial SSU rRNA". It matches the Rfam family "Bacterial small subunit ribosomal RNA", at positions 134 to 468 of the family's 1533-position model. The record is from RNAcentral.